RNAcentral lists this ribosomal RNA (468 nucleotides) under uncultured bacterium. RNAcentral describes it as "partial 16S ribosomal RNA". It matches the Rfam family "Bacterial small subunit ribosomal RNA", at positions 28 to 507 of the family's 1533-position model. The record is from RNAcentral.
GACGAACGCUGGCGGCGUGCUUAACACAUGCAAGUCGAACGGAAAGGCCCUGCUUUUGUGGGGUGCUCGAGUGGCGAACGGGUGAGUAACACGUGAGUAACCUGCCCUUGACUUUGGGAUAACUUCAGGAAACUGGGGCUAAUACCGGAUAGGAGCUCCUGCUGCACGGUGGGGGUUGGAAAGUUUCGGCGGUUGGGGCUAGACUCGCGGCUUAUCAGCUUGUUGGUGGGGUAGUUGCUUACCAAGGCUUUGACGGGUAGCCGGCCUGAGAGGGUGACCGGCCACAAUGGGACUGAGGUAGGGACCAGAAUCCUAUGGGCGGCAUCGGUGGAAAAUCUUGCAGAGCAAGCGGAAGCCUGAUGCAACGACGCCGCGUGCGGAAUGCCGGCCUACGAGUUGUAAACCGCUUUCGACUGUGACGAGGAGUGAGUGACGGUAAUGGGUAAAGAAGCACCGGCUAACUACGUG